This 667-nucleotide ribosomal RNA is filed under the name uncultured bacterium. RNAcentral's name for it is "bacterial SSU rRNA". It matches the Rfam family "Bacterial small subunit ribosomal RNA", at positions 732 to 1397 of the family's 1533-position model. The record is from RNAcentral.
GACAAAGACUGACGCUCAGAUGCGAAAGCGUGGGUAGCAAACAGGAUUAGAUACCCUGGUAGUCCACGCCGUAAACGCUGUCUACCUGGAGGUUGAGGUUUUAGACUUUGGCUUUCGGCGCUAACGCAUUAAGUAGACCGCCUGGGGAGUACGGCCGCAAGGUUAAAACUCAAAUGAAUUGACGGGGGCCCGCACAAGCGGUGGAGCAUGUGGUUUAAUUCGAUGCAACGCGAAGAACCUUACCUACUCUUGACAUCCAGCGAAGCCUUUAGAGAUAGAGGCGUGCCUUCGGGAGCGCUGAGACAGGUGCUGCAUGGCUGUCGUCAGCUCGUGUUGUGAAAUGUUGGGUUAAGUCCCGCAACGAGCGCAACCCUUAUCCUUGUUUGCCAGCACGUAAUGGUGGGAACUCCAGGGAGACUGCCGGUGAUAAACCGGAGGAAGGUGGGGACGACGUCAAGUCAUCAUGGCCCUUACGAGUAGGGCUACACACGUGCUACAAUGGCAGAUACAGAGGGCAGCGAGACAGCGAUGUUUAGCGAAUCCCUUAAAGUUUGUCGUAGUCCGGAUUGGAGUCUGCAACUCGACUCCAUGAAGUCGGAAUCGCUAGUAAUCGUGGAUCAGAAUGCCACGGUGAAUACGUUCCCGGGCCUUGCUACACACCGCCCGU